RNAcentral lists this long non-coding RNA (271 nucleotides) under Vigna radiata. Its description in RNAcentral is "long non-coding RNA (VRAD_LNC018562)". Lineage: Eukaryota; Viridiplantae; Streptophyta; Magnoliopsida; Fabales; Fabaceae. The record is from RNAcentral.
CCAAGGCAAAAGGGAGGAUAAAUAAUAUGGAUGAGAAGCUACAAACCAAAAGAAAUAGAGGAGCAAUGGGGAACAAGUGUAAACACAGUCAAACACACCCAAACCUCUAAUUCAAUCCCCUUCUUGACUCCAUUAUUCAUAUUUUUUAUUUUUCUCAUUUUUUUUUCUGUAUUUUUUUCAUCUUGUCUCUUUUCUUUUCUCUCUAUUUAGAACACAACUAUAAGAGACGAGAUACACAACAUAUUUACAAAAAUAAAACAAGAAGAGGAAC